AUUUAUAUAGUUUAAAAAAAACACUAUAUUUUCAAUAUAAAAAUAAAGAAAUUUUAUAAAUA
Molecule: transfer RNA, 62 nt
Filed under: Geisha distinctissima
Lineage: Eukaryota; Metazoa; Arthropoda; Insecta; Hemiptera; Flatidae
Description: tRNA-Glu
Source: RNAcentral